AAGAAGUCCUAUGAAGGGGCGUAUAGAGAAACGAGGCCCGACAAGCUUUAGAGAUAGUCCCCCAUGUACAUCUUACUUUCUCUUACUAACCACUCAGAAUACGUCAGAAACGGCUCCGUUUCACUGCCAGGACUGUGUGGGAGUGAGAUGGGAGUAAGGGGGGAACCUGGCCAGGCCAGGCCACAAGAGUGCAAUAUUUUCCUGGCCUCCCAGAACUGGUAUUCUGAGGGCCAGCAUCCCUGAGGGAGGGCCUAAGGCUCCUCAGAGACCAAAGAGCGCCACCUGGGACCCCGGAGCUCAAAGCUGAGCUUCUGCGGAGAAACCGCCAAGUCCGAAAGAGCCCAGUAACAGCCGUAGGGUCCUGGCAGACAAUAGGCUUCCAUGCUUGGGGUAGGCUGCCUCCUAGAGAGAGGCUAAGCCUGCUUUGGGUGAUCUCGUCUGAGUGGCUAUUGUGCGAGCCCAGAAGAGCUGGAAAUUCACCUGAGUUUUCUCUUCCUGGGAGAUUUGUCUGCAGAUGAAGGGGGACAGAACAAAAGUGACUGAUACUGAAUUGAAAGCAAAGAUAAGUGAGGAGAUAAUCUUCUUCUCCUCCCUCACUUCUCUCAGAGGAAAGGAGCACCGGAGCUCAUCGUGAUGAAUCUCAGUGCCAUGUUUGGAGUGUUGAGGCUGUCUUGCUAGUGCAGUCGACAGCCAGCCUGGCAGAUGGCCAGUGCCGAGAGCUCCCUGGGAAGAAGAGUAAACAAAGACCUUGGUGGUCGGCUGUGACCCAGAAUCCUCCUUAUGCAGAGGCAGUCAGGCAGGAGGAAAAUCAGAUGGACAACUGUCAAGGGUGUAUUAGAGAAGGGAGAGGCUCUGAGGUAAGUAGACAAAGAUGGGGGACAGGUGGGAGGGAGCUCUUGGAAUAGUCCAGGCAAGAAAUGACUAAAUGAGUGGAGAGAAGCGCACAGAUGAACAAGAGAUGUUGUAGAAGUAGAAAUUAUAAGAGUUGACUACUGAAUGGAUUGUGGAGCAGGUGUGAUGCCACAAGGAUGUCACUGAUAUUAUGAUCCUGGAUUACUAGAAGACUGGAAAGCAUCCACAGAAAGAAGGAAGUUUAAAGAGAGAUGGGUAUGGGACUGAGGAGAGAGGAGAGAAGAAUAAUGAGUUUAGUUUCAAAUGUGUUGAGUUUGAGGUACCUGCAGGGGCAUCCAGUUCAAAGGGUCCAGUACAUAGUUGUUGAUAUUGUAGAGAUAGUGGAACUAGAGCUGAGGAGAGGGACCAGAACUGGAAAUAGAGAUCUGGGAGUCAUCAGCACAGAAAUGACCAUUAAAUCCAUGUGAGGAGAGGUCACCAAGACAGAGAAGAGAGCCCAGGGCAGAACUUUAGAAUGCACACAUAGGGAGGAGCAUGUUGAGGUUGAUAAUCCAAUGGAGGAGACAGAAGAGGGUUAGAUGAGUAGGAGGAGAACCACAGAAGAGAUGUACUUCUAAGACCCUAUUCUCAAGUAUAUUAUGUUCUACUGGAGGUUACAACAUGUGCACAGAUAAGAAUACACAAAAUAAUUUGAGUAAAUAAAGAAACCCAACAGCCAGGGCAUUGAUGGAGGAUGUCUUCCCUUCUAUAAUCUGAUCCAUCCACUUGUCACUAGAGAAAUUUCUACUCUGGGGCUCCUAUGUCCUAAUUGAUGUCCCUUUUUCUAGACUAACAUUUCAUGAAAGCUUUAUCCACUAUGGUUUAUUUCACUUCCCUCUCUCCAAACAUUUCUUCCAUAGCCUUAAAACAAUACCUUACAACAUUUUCUCCUCCCCCUCCUCUAGUUUUGGAAGCAUGAACCAUAAUAGAUUCAAUAAAAAAAAAACCACCCUUACCUUCUGUCUUAGAAUCAAUACUGUGUAUUGGUUCCAAGGUAGAAGAGUAAUAAGGGCUAGGCAGUGAGAGUUAGUUAAGUGACUUGCCCAGGGUCACACAGCUAGGACAUGUCUGAGGUCAGAUUUUAACUAGGACCUCCUAUCUCUAGGUCUGGCUCUCAAUCCACUGAGCCACCCAGCUGCCCCACUAAUUGAUUCAAUUCUGCUAUAGUUCCUGGAUAAAAUUUGUUAAGUCUACUACCUGGGGCCACACUCACCAUUUCUGUAACUUUGUAGACCAAAGUGCUCCCCCUAGUGGCCUCCACUAAAAAAGCAACUCUCCCUGGCCACCUCUCCCCUAUGCUUAUAGCCUCUCCUUAUAGAAUAUAAGUUUCUUAAAGGCAAGGAUGGCUUUUGUUUUUGUAUUGGCACCUCCAUGGCAAA
Non-coding RNA from Monodelphis domestica (gray short-tailed opossum), 2270 nucleotides. The record is from RefSeq and is a predicted model, not a curated record. Lineage: Eukaryota; Metazoa; Chordata; Mammalia; Didelphimorphia; Didelphidae.